AAUGCCACAUUCCGGGAACAAUAUCUGGCUUUAUACAACAUUGUGCACCAUAAGGGUGAUACUAUCACCAAGGUAAUGGAAUCUUUUCCGGCCAAUGUGACAUUCAGAAGAGAUUUAAUUGGACCCAGACUCCAAUCAUGGAACAUCCUGCUCCAGAGGUUGUCCAUGGUGCAAUUGUUACAUGGGUCUGAUAUAUUCCGAUGGAACCUCCAUGGGAAUGGAAAAUUCUCGGUGGAGUCAAUGUAUAGAGCGUUAAUCCAGUCUGAUGUGCCAGUUGAUAAUAAUAAGAAGAUCUGA
RNAcentral lists this ribosomal RNA (297 nucleotides) under Triticum aestivum (bread wheat). Its description in RNAcentral is "partial small subunit ribosomal RNA". Lineage: Eukaryota; Viridiplantae; Streptophyta; Magnoliopsida; Poales; Poaceae. The record is from RNAcentral.